Molecule: small nucleolar RNA, 94 nt
Filed under: Lodderomyces parapsilosis CDC317
Lineage: Eukaryota; Fungi; Ascomycota; Pichiomycetes; Serinales; Debaryomycetaceae
Description: Candida parapsilosis CDC317 Small nucleolar RNA snR57
Rfam family: Small nucleolar RNA snR57
About the family: snR57 is a member of the C/D class of snoRNA which contain the C (UGAUGA) and D (CUGA) box motifs. Most of the members of the box C/D family function in directing site-specific 2'-O-methylation of substrate RNAs.
Source: Rfam by way of RNAcentral
UUCAACAUGAUUAAACUCAAUGAUAUAACUUUUUAUAACUGAGGAUGUACAUGCAGGACAUAUUGUUAAGGAAUUCUUCGUUUAUGAUUGUGAU